CUACGUGCCAGCAGCCGCGGUAAUACGUAGGGGGCAAGCGUUAUCCGGAUUCAUUGGGCGUAAAGCGCUCGUAGGCGGUCUGUUAGGUCGGGAGUUAAAUCCGGGGGCUCAACCCCCGUUCGCUCCCGAUACCGGCAGACUUGAGUUUGGUAGGGGAAGGUGGAAUUCCUAGUGUAGCGGUGGAAUGCGCAGAUAUUAGGAAGAACACCAGUGGCGAAGGCGGCCUUCUGGGCCAUAACUGACGCUGAGGAGCGAAAGCUAGGGGAGCAAACAGGAUUAGAUACCCUGGUAGUCCUAGCCGUAAACGAUGGACACUAGGUGUGGGGGAAUAUUUCUUCCGUGCCGCAGCUAACGCAUUAAGCACUCCGCCUGGGGAGUACGACCGCAAGGUUGAAACUCAAAGGAAUUGACGGGGGCCCGCACAAGCGGUGGAGCAUGUGGUUUAAUUCGAAGCAACGCGAAGAACCUUACCAGGUCUUGACAUCCCUCUGACCGCUCUAGAGAUAGAGCUUUC
Molecule: ribosomal RNA, 514 nt
Filed under: uncultured bacterium
Lineage: Bacteria
Description: bacterial SSU rRNA
Rfam family: Bacterial small subunit ribosomal RNA
Source: RNAcentral